UACGGAGGAUGCGAGCGUUAUCCGGAUUUAUUGGGUUUAAAGGGUGCGUAGGCGGGAUGCCAAGUCAGCGGUAAAAAUGCGGUGCUCAACGCCGUCGAGCCGUUGAAACUGGCGUUCUUGAGUGGGCGAGAAGUAUGCGGAAUGCGUGGUGUAGCGGUGAAAUGCAUAGAUAUCACGCAGAACUCCGAUUGCGAAGGCAGCAUACCGGCGCCCUACUGACGCUGAGGCACGAAUGCGUGGGUAUCGAACAGG
RNAcentral lists this ribosomal RNA (252 nucleotides) under uncultured bacterium. RNAcentral describes it as "partial 16S ribosomal RNA". It matches the Rfam family "Bacterial small subunit ribosomal RNA", at positions 524 to 776 of the family's 1533-position model. The record is from RNAcentral.